Molecule: ribosomal RNA, 327 nt
Filed under: Salmonella enterica
Lineage: Bacteria; Pseudomonadati; Pseudomonadota; Gammaproteobacteria; Enterobacterales; Enterobacteriaceae
Description: bacterial SSU rRNA
Source: RNAcentral
AAAUUGAAGAGUUUGAUCAUGGCUCAGAUUGAACGCUGGCGGCAGGCCUAACACAUGCAAGUCGAACGGUAACAGGAAGCAGCUUGCUGCUUYGCUGACGAGUGGCGGACGGGUGAGUAAUGUCUGGGAAACUGCCUGAUGGAGGGGGAUAACUACUGGAAACGGUGGCUAAUACCGCAUAACGUCGCAAGACCAAAGAGGGGGACCUUCGGGCCUCUUGCCAUCAGAUGUGCCCAGAUGGGAUUAGCUKGUUGGUGAGGUAACGGCUCACCAAGGCGACGAUCCCUAGCUGGUCUGAGAGGAUGACCAGCCACACUGGAACUGAGA